GACGAACGCUGGCGGCGUGCUUAACACAUGCAAGUCGAACGGAAAGGCCCCCUUGUGGGGUACUCGAGUGGCGAACGGGGGAGUAACACGUGAGUAACCUACCCUUGACUUUGGGAUAACUUCAGGAAACUGGGGCAAAUACGGCCUGGGAGCUCCUCCUGCUGGGGGGGGGUGGGAAGGUUUCGGCGGUUGGGGAUGGACUCGCGGCUUAUCAGCUUGUUGGUGGGGUAGGGGUGCACCAAGGCUUUGACGGGUAGCCGGCCUGAGAGGGUGACCGGCCACAUUGGGACUGAGAUACGGCCCAGACUCCUACGGGAGGCAGCAGUGGGGAAUAUUGCACAAUGGGCGGAAGCCUGAUGCAGCAACGCCGCGUGCGGGAUGACGGCCUUCGGGUUGUAAACCGCUUUCGCCUGUGACGAAGCGUGAGUGACGGUAAUGGGUAAAGAAGCACCGGCUAACUACGUG
Molecule: ribosomal RNA, 465 nt
Filed under: uncultured bacterium
Lineage: Bacteria
Description: partial 16S ribosomal RNA
Rfam family: Bacterial small subunit ribosomal RNA
Source: RNAcentral